Long non-coding RNA from Coffea eugenioides, 948 nucleotides. RefSeq lists it as uncharacterized. The record is from RefSeq and is a predicted model, not a curated record. Lineage: Eukaryota; Viridiplantae; Streptophyta; Magnoliopsida; Gentianales; Rubiaceae. The transcript is spliced from 2 exons.
CGCUCCAAAAAAACAGAGGCACCGGGACUCAAGAGGAGAGAGAAGAAGAGAGGCUGAGCGAUUGUGAUUCAAGUGAGAGCAGUCUUCAUCAAUGGCGCCGGCAAUGGACCGCUGCAAGGCGAGAUUACACGUAACUUAUUAGGACCAGCAGAAAGUUUCAGGUUCUAAGCAGCUUACAUGGCAUUUGUUUCUCAAAGCACAAACAGCUCUGGGAUGUAUUUCAUGAAGCCAUGGGUUUGUUGAUAAUGUUAGUUUUAGUCAAAAUGCAUUAGCCAUUCAGAUGCAACAAAUGAAGAUUACAAUCACAAAGAGAGGUUGUACAAGUUUCGCAAAGGCCUUUCUAGCCAUUUCUAUGGUGGCUUUGGUCAUUGAACAUGUUGCUUAUUCUCAAAAGUGGAUUCGACUUUGGUUCAUCCUCGGGAGGUUCAUGGUGUUGUGCAAUGGUCUUAAUUGGCCUGGCUGUCCUUAGGAGUUGAUUAUGCUGCUGCUCCGUUGCUAUUAAUGCUUUCCAAGUUCUUUGUUGUACUUUUCAUGAUUCAGCCAUUGGAUCAACUGGUGCUUUGUCUUGGAUGCUUCUAAAUUAAGUUCAAGAAGUUGAUGCCAAUUUGUAGAAUGAGAAGGAUAUGACAUUAAGGGUGGCUCCAGUUUUCUGAUGGUUGCACGAAUUCCAUGUGCAAUGGUAGACGAAACAACCUUUAAUUAGGAUUAAGUAGAUGCAUUAAAGCCUUUAAAUUGUGUAAGAACGACCAAAUGACCGCCUAGUUCAAUCAGAUGUUUUGUUGUUGUUGUGGGAAGAUGUGCUGCCAGAGAAGCUUCCUUGCCAUUCCUUUUCGGCAACUUGGUCUUUCUUCAAUUGUUAACUAGUUAAAACAAAACCCUGUAGUGUGUGACCAGUGAACUAGCUCUGUAAGGGGCUCUAUAUCUUGUCUAAUACCUUUUCCUUUUUUU